CUUUUUAGGGCCUCACUUGUGGCAUAUGGGAUUUCCCAAGCUAGGGGCCACAUCGAAGCUACAGCUGCCCGCCUACACCACAGCCACAGCAACUCAGGAUCCAAGCCACCUCUGUGACCUACACCGCAGCUCAUGGCAAUGCCAGACCCUUAACCCACUGAACAGGGCCAGGAACUGAACCCAUGUCCCCAUGGAUAUUAGUCAGAUUUGUUACUGCUGAGCCACAAUAGGAACUCCUCAAAUCUAUUUUUAUUCAUUUAUUUAUUUUUCUUUUUUAGCCACACCUGCAGCAUAUGGAAGUUCACAGGCCAGGGAUCAAAUCCUAGCUGUAGCUGCAACCUAUGCCACAGCUGCAGCAACAUCACAUCCUUAACACUGCACCACAGCAGGAACUCCUCAAAUCUAUUUUUAAACAGCUAUAACUUUUUUGGACUUGUAUAAAAUCUAUAGAUAAGUUUUGGCAAAAUUAACUUGGAUCUAUGUUUUAGAAGCAUCAUUCUAAUAAUGAUAAUUCUAUUAGGUUUGGUGGGGUCAGACAGAAGAAUGAAAGCUAUAUAGGUGGGAGUUCCCAUCAUGGCUCAAUGGUUAACAAUUCUGACUAGCAUCCAUGAGGACACAGGUUCGAUCCCCGGCCUUGAUCAGCAGGUUAAGGAUCCGACAUAGCCAUGAGCUUUGUAGGUGGCAGACACAGCUCGGAUCCUGUGUUGCUGUGGCAUAGGCCAGCGGUUACAGCUCUGAUUUGACUCCUAGCCUGGGAACCUACAUAUGCUGCAGGUGCAGCCCUAAUAAGCAAAACAAAACAAAACAAAAUCUAUAUAGGCAAUUAGGUGAAAUAAAGCAGUAAAAAUGAGAAUGAAGAGAUUUAUACUAUGUUUAGGAGAUGAAACAUGCCAAGAUGCACUGACUAGGAAGGAAAAUUCAGGAAUGACUUAGAUUUUCUUCUGGGUCUUUGAAGAUAUUUAAAGAUAAGUACAGAAGCAGCCUACUUAGGAACAAGGACAGUAAGACUGGUUUGAGGCAUAUUGCAUUUUGGUGACUAAGAGAUAUUCAAAUGAAUAUGAGUCUGAAACUCUGCAGAGAGGAAUAAGCUCUAUAUUUAUAGUUAUGAGUCAGCCAUAUGAGUGGUUGUGGAAGUCAGUGUGGAAAAACAUGCCCACACUUGGGAACAAGCCUUUGGGAAUGUUGUAAUUUGGGAGAGAUCAGAAGAAAAGGGAGACUGGAGGUAAUGUCCAGAGAUAUAAUAGGAAAACCAGAGAAGAAAACUGUUAUGAUAGUCAAAGGAAGAAAGGUUUAAGAAAGAGGAAGCUAUUAACAUUGUAAAAUAAUUAAAGAAGAAAUAUAUCCACCUGAUUUAAUAACAUAAAUGUAAUUGGUUGAAAUAAUUUCAUUGCUGUUUUGGGGACAGAAGACGAACUGUUGUCAGAUGAGCAGCAAAUGACCAGUGAGGAAGGGAAAUGGGGAAUGUAAAUGGCUCUUCAAGAAGGGUGGCUACAAAGGAAAAGAGAUAUACAACAGUAGCUAGAGGGGAGUUCCCAUUACGGCUCAGCAAAAACAAAUCUGACUAGUAUCCAUGAGGAUGUGGGUUGGAUCCCCGGCCUUGCUCAGUGGGUUAAGGAUCUUGUGUUGCCAUGAGCUCUGGUGCAGUUCACAGACUUGGCUCGAAUCCUGCAUUUCAGUGGCUGUGCUAUAGGCCGGCAGCUGUAGCUCCGAUUUAACCCCUAGCCUGAGAACUUCCAUAUUCCACAGGUGCAAACCUAAAAAGCAAAGAAAUAAAAAAUAAAAAAAUAAAAAACAAACUCCAAGGCAGGUAGUUGGCUAGGUGAAUGAGACUUCGGCAUUGGGAAAUGCGAAAGACUGUGAAAGCAUGGGUCCUGGUGGAAAUAUACUGUAUAGGUGGUCUGGGGUUGUGGUGUGAGUUAUUUCUUGUUUUUCUGAAUGAAUAAGAAGGCAAACUUAUGUGCUGAGAUCAAGAAUAAAUGGAACAGAGAAAGGAAUCUGAGGCAAGUCUGGAGUACCUAUGGAUUCAAGAGGGAAAAGUAGCUGACUAGCUGCAUAGAGGAGGAUUCCAGGCAGCACUCAGAAUCCAUCAAAGGUCAAAGGGUUUGUUCGAGUUGCUGGCUGAUUUCCCCCAGUGCAACUCAAUAAUCUAGGGAAAGCCUGCUUCAUUUUAUCCCAAGCCUUGUGUACAGAAUUAUCCAUAUUAGAGUGAAAUUGAAUGUCAUGUGAUUUCACUUGAAUUUUAUUGCAAAUUGGUGUGGGCUAAGUGGUAGCUAAGACUGCCAUAAUUAGACCCAUAGGAAGAAACAUAAGAGACUGAAUGAUAGUAUGUGGCAGGAUAAAAACAAAAAAACAGAAGAAUAUGUCCAUAGGAAAAUGUUCUUUUCCUUUGGCUGCUCUGGGCUAUAUCAAGAGGCAUUCAUAUGUGGCCAGGAGCAACAAUUAUUUUUUUAAAUAAGGUUUUCAAGUCCUACAACACUAUUAAUAAUGUCAAAUGAAAAACAUGUGGGAAAAACCACCAUCCAAAGAUAGAUUCAUAUAGGAUAGUGAUUAACCAACUCCAGCCAACAGAUCAGAUAU
RNAcentral lists this long non-coding RNA (2577 nucleotides) under Sus scrofa (pig). RNAcentral describes it as "lncRNA (ENSSSCG00035055602.1)". The record is from RNAcentral. Lineage: Eukaryota; Metazoa; Chordata; Mammalia; Artiodactyla; Suidae.